GCAAUGGUCGGUCUUUCAACUGACGAGCCGAGAGCCAGCAGUGUCUUUUUGCACGAAUUCGGUGCCAAAGCUAGAAGAACAGUUCGCACGAAUUAAAGGCUAGAGCCUUCAACACAGUUGAGAAUUUGAGAAUAUAGGUCUACAAUUUUCUUCAGACUUGAACUCAGAUUUGCAAGUUGAUUUUGACAUAACUUUGUUGAAUUAUGGCUAAAAAUUUUCAGCUUUUAUUAGUUUUAGUGUGGAGCUGUAAAACUUAACCAUUGUUGGGUGUAAGUAAGUAGAUUUCACAGAUGUCGUUUCAUCUCACUUGAGUGUCCUGUUCGCUCCUUCAGACAAACAUUAGCUCUUCAUGUAUGAGGCACACUUCCUCAAUUUCCACGACUGAAAGUUAAAACCGAAGUUUCCUCAUCUUAAUUGUGUAGCUCUUUAGAAAAGCCAUUCACAAGUAUUUCCUGAGCUUCCGUUUUCCAUGCUUAACACUUGAGUGGAUGCUCACGGGUGUGCCAGGAACUCCUAUACACAAAUAGAUUAGCACUUAAUGAGGAAGAGAAUGGAUAAAAACAGUGAAAACAGUAAUUGUGCCACAAAGAGAGUACCUGGGAGUAUAUGAUACAGAGUAAUUGGGUAGAAUAAAUAAAAGAGCUACUACUGAGUCAUAAUCCUGGGGCUUAGCUCACGUAGGUCAACUCAACACUGCUCUUGAAUGCCUGCUGUGCCCAGAUACUGAGUUAGACUCUUUCUGCUACAGAGUUAAACAUGUUCAAAACAUCAUUUACCAGCAGGUGACAUGGGAAGUAAUAGGACGUAUUUAAUAGGAAAGGCGAAAUGUAAUUCUGUCAGGGAAAGUCAGAGAAGUUUUCACAGAUGAGGUAAUGAAUUUAAUUUUUAUUUCUUCAUUUUACAAGUAAUUUGUAGAAAAAAUAAGUAGGAAGCAAAGAGGAAGUAGGAAGGAAGAUCAAUGUCCUUCAGACGCCCAUGAUCAUACCAUGCAAACAUGACUACUGUUAAUAUUUAUGUCAUUUCGAUGCAUAUACUUUUUAACAAUAUUAACAGAAAAACUUAACUGGAUCCUACCCGUUGUUUUGCAGUCUGCUGAAUAUGUAAAACAGGUAAUAUUCCUUCAUAAUAGCCUGAACAGGGUUGUGAGGGGUGAUUAAAAGUUGAGCAUGAGGGAACAGCCCGCAUGCAGAGGACAAAGGCAUAGACCUGUUCCAACAGCAUGUGUCAGGUUGUCUGGCUCCAGCGACAGUACUGCUCACACUGCAGUUGGGUCCUGCUGCAGAGUCCGGUCCUGAUCUGGACCCCGUUCAAAGACUGCUACCGCUGCUUCCUCUCAGUAGAGUUGGAAACGAAGGCCUUCUCCAGAUCAGUGGCCAAAGCCAUGAGUCUGUUAACGUGCUCCUGUAAGGUUACCAUAUCUGGCAUUGCAUCUGUAUUGGGACGACUACGUGGUUGAAUUUCUAGUGGGUCACUGUCCUACUCCAGGUUCUGCCUGAUUUUUAUAAGGGGCAGACUGGUAAGUUACAUGGGAAUAUGUUGGUGACCACCGCCUUUGUAUCUUUGGGUCUUCUUAAGGUAGCACUAUGGCUGACGCUCCCCCAUGGAUGUAAUACUGUUUGGGAUUUACUGUCUCCGUCUGGGGAGGGGCAGGGGGAGUGCAGUUUCAGAGGCUCCCAUUCAGCUUUUCCCAUUAUGGUAGCUUUCAACCCACCCCCAGAGGAACCAAAGUAGGAAUUGUUGUUGUCAAUUACGAGUAUAUCCAUUCAGUUUACACACUGGAAAUAAAUGAUAACCAAAUAAAUCUGUGGA
This is a long non-coding RNA of Leopardus geoffroyi (Geoffroy's cat), 1809 nucleotides long. RefSeq lists it as uncharacterized. The transcript is spliced from 2 exons. NCBI's taxonomy places the organism in Eukaryota, Metazoa, Chordata, Mammalia, Carnivora, Felidae. The record is from RefSeq and is a predicted model, not a curated record.